GCUGAAUGUGGUGGUGCAUGCCUGUAAUCCCAACGGCUCAGGAGGCUGAGGCAGGAGGAUCACAAUUUCGUGACCAGCCUCAACCUCUUAGUGAGGCUCUAAGAAACUUAGUGAGACCCUGUCUCCA
Molecule: small RNA, 127 nt
Filed under: Marmota monax (woodchuck)
Lineage: Eukaryota; Metazoa; Chordata; Mammalia; Rodentia; Sciuridae
Source: RNAcentral